This 494-nucleotide ribosomal RNA is filed under the name uncultured bacterium. RNAcentral's name for it is "partial 16S ribosomal RNA". It matches the Rfam family "Bacterial small subunit ribosomal RNA", at positions 28 to 507 of the family's 1533-position model. The record is from RNAcentral.
GACGAACGCUGGCGGCGUGCUUAACACAUGCAAGUCGAACGGAAAGGCCUUCUUGCCCUUGUGGAUUGCGGAUACUCGAGUGGCGAACGGGUGAUUAACACGUGAGUUAUCUGCCCCCAACUUGGGUAUAAGCCUGUGAAACUUGUUCUAAUUCCCUAUAUGACUGCAGGGUGGUGCCUGUUGUGGAGAACGAUGUUCUAGUGGUUGGGGAUGAGCUCGCGGCCUAUCAGCUUGUUGGUGGGGUCAUGGCCUACCAAGGCGGCGACGGGUAGCCGGCCUGAGAGAGUGGACCGGAAAAGGGGAACGGCGACACGGCCACGAAGACUACGCGCGGAAGCAGUGGGGAGGAUGGAGUGAUGGGCGGAAGACUGAGGGAGCGAGGCCGAGGCAGGGAUGCCGGGUUUGGGAUGGCAACCUUCGGUUGACAGAGAGGAAGCAACACGGUUGGAAGGGUGGUGACGGUAGUGGUAGAAGAAGCACCGGCUAACUACGUG